AGUCGAGCGCAGGAGUCGACGGAACCCUCCGGGGGGAAGUCGACGGAAUGAGCGGCGGACGGGUGAGUAACACGUAAAGAACCUGCCCUCAGGUCUGGGAUAACCACGAGAAAUCGGGGCUAAUACCGGAUGGGUCAUCGGACCGCAUGGUCCGAGGAUGAAAGGCGCUUCGGCGUCGCCUGGGGAUGGCUUUGCGGUGCAUUAGCUAGUUGGUGGGGUAAUGGCCCACCAAGGCGACGAUGCAUAGCCGACCUGAGAGGGUGAUCGGCCACACUGGGACUGAGACACGGCCCAUACUCCUACGGGAGGCAGCAGUAGGGAAUCUUCCACAAUGGACGAAAGUCUGAUGGAGCAACGCCGCGUGAACGAUGAAGGCCUUCGGGUCGUAAAGUUCUGUUGUAAGGGAAGAACAAGUGCCGCAGGCAAUGGCGGCACCUUGACGGUACCUUGCGAGAAAGCCACGGCUAACUACGUGCCAGCAGCCGCGGUAAUACGUAGGUGGCAAGCGUUGUCCGGAAUUAUUGGGCGUAAAGCGCGCGCAGGCGGCCUCUUAAGUCUGAUGUGAAAGCCCCCGGCUCAACCGGGGAGGGCCAUUGGAAACUGGGAGGCUUGAGUAUAGGAGAGAAGAGUGGAAUUCCACGUGUAGCGGUGAAAUGCGUAGAGAUGUGGAGGAACACCAGUGGCGAA
Molecule: ribosomal RNA, 687 nt
Filed under: uncultured bacterium
Lineage: Bacteria
Description: bacterial SSU rRNA
Rfam family: Bacterial small subunit ribosomal RNA
Source: RNAcentral